CUCAGGGCAGGGCCCAUGCCCAGCAGCACACGGGCACCACGAACGAGCGUGAUGCUGGUUUGGAUUUCUUGUCUUAGAAUCUUUGGGCAUUUAUUUAUUCUCUAAAACUUUACAGACUGGUUCAGCUGGACAACUAUUAUUAAAAUGCUACACAAAUGCUGACUAUAAAACUGGCCCAAGUUUUCACUUACCUCAUAACUUAACUGCUUCCCAACAAUUUCCUGCACCUUCCAGAAGCAAGAUUUGGGAUAUUGGACAAAUUUAAGAAUGCUUGGAAUACUGACACCUAGGAGCACAAGUUGCAAGAAUCUGUUACCAAAGAACCGAAGCUUUCACAAAUCUGAAGAUGAAAGAAAAAUGUUGAGGGUGCAGAGAGUGAGACAUGAAGGCUCUGACCAACCUUAUCCAUCUACAACGAAAAGAGCUUGCCUGGAGAAUUCAUGUUUUGUGCCUUUGAGAUCAACUCCUUAGCGUAACUAUGACAAAACCAUGAUUAAAACUGAUUACUUUAAAUAUGA
Molecule: long non-coding RNA, 518 nt
Organism: Peromyscus eremicus (cactus mouse)
Lineage: Eukaryota; Metazoa; Chordata; Mammalia; Rodentia; Cricetidae
Exons: 3
Source: RefSeq, a predicted model, not a curated record